This 40-nucleotide ribosomal RNA is filed under the name Heterosigma akashiwo. RNAcentral describes it as "partial Trypanosomatid mitochondrial large subunit ribosomal RNA". The record is from RNAcentral. Lineage: Eukaryota; Raphidophyceae; Chattonellales; Chattonellaceae.
CAAAAUAAAAAAAUAAAAAAUAAAAUAAAAAAAUAAAAUA